Molecule: ribosomal RNA, 440 nt
Filed under: uncultured bacterium
Lineage: Bacteria
Description: partial 16S ribosomal RNA
Rfam family: Bacterial small subunit ribosomal RNA
Source: RNAcentral
CCUACGGGGCGCAGCAGUGGGGGAUAUUGCACAAUGGGGGGAACCCUGAUGCAGCGACGCCGCGUGGGUGAAGAAGCGCCUCGGCGCGUAAAGCCCUGUCAGCAGGGAAGAAAAUGACGGUACCUGAAGAAAAAGCCCCGGCUAACUACGUGCCAGCAGCCGCGGUAAUACGUAGGGGGCAAGCGUUAUCCGGAUUUACUGGGUGGAAAGGGGGCGCAGACGGCGAUGCAAGCCAGGAGUGAAAGCCCGGGGCCCAACCCCGGGACUGCUCUUGGAACUGCGUGGCUGGAGUGCAGGAGGGGCAGGCGGAAUUCCUGGUGUAGCGGUGAAAUGCGUAGAUAUCAGGAGGAACACCGGUGGCGAAGGCGGCCUGCUGGACUGCAACUGACGUUGAGGCCCGAAAGCGUGGGGAGCAAACAGGAUUAGAUACCCCUGUAGUC